Molecule: Y RNA, 96 nt
Filed under: Prolemur simus (greater bamboo lemur)
Lineage: Eukaryota; Metazoa; Chordata; Mammalia; Primates; Lemuridae
Description: Y RNA (ENSPSMG00000023020.1)
Rfam family: Y RNA
About the family: Y RNAs are components of the Ro ribonucleoprotein particle (Ro RNP), in association with Ro60 and La proteins. The Y RNAs and Ro60 and La proteins are well conserved, but the function of the Ro RNP is not known.
Source: RNAcentral
GGCCACUUCCAAAGACAAGAGUGCUAAUUGAUCACAACCAGUUACAGAUUUCUUUGUUCCUUCUCCACUCCCACUGCUCCACUUGACCAGCCUAAA